Lytechinus pictus (painted urchin) is the source of this 2804-nucleotide long non-coding RNA. RefSeq lists it as uncharacterized. NCBI's taxonomy places the organism in Eukaryota, Metazoa, Echinodermata, Echinoidea, Temnopleuroida, Toxopneustidae. The transcript is spliced from 3 exons. The record is from RefSeq and is a predicted model, not a curated record.
UCAGUCUGUGGGUUGAUAUGGAAAGUUAUGUUCUUUACUAAAUUUCUGAUCCAGUUAUUCUGAAGACUUACAUGAUCAUUAAACACUCAAACAUUCAGAACUUUUAUUUUAUUUAGUUUUAUUUGAUGUGAUUUAAACUUUCACCAGUCUGUUUCUGUAGUUCUUUAUGUUAAUCUUUUCUAAAGACUGCAAUUUAUGGUAACUACCUAACCAUCGCUUGAUUUUAAUGAGGCUGUAAACUGUUCAAUGUAUUUUGAUUAUCAUUAACAUCAGCAUCAUCAACAGAAGCAUAAUAAUAUAAUCUCUACCUGUUUUUAUCACCGUCAUUACCAACAGCAUCAUGAUAAUUAGCAUCAGUUAGUAUCAUCAACAGGGAAUAUCCUGUGUUGAAGACUAGGAAGUAAUCCUCUUUUUCUUUUCUUAUAGCAAGACAUGGCUGAUUUUGAUUGAGGAGAUGGAGGCAUUAUUGCAGUUACCUGUGAACAAUGCAAUUCAAAAGAUUGCUUGCAGCAGUCCAAGGGAAUAAGCAUUAAGUACUUCAUCCAGAAAAGUGACUGAUUGCUGAGCUUGUAAUAGACUGGUAACAAGGAAGAUAGGAGGCUAGUAACCAGACCAAUGACAGUUGGUAUCCUACAUUGAGAGAACCGUCAUUUAUUCUCAUUAAUGGCAGUCAAAUCAUCGCCUAUUACACUAAGCUAAGAUAUGGAAUCUAGUCUACAUAUAAGAGACUAUUAGCUCUUGCUCCCUCUUCGAGUCAAAUUCAACCUUAAAGAUAAAUUCCAGUUGUGGGGACGAUCUCAAAAUGACUUUUUACAGAAUUUAAUAUAAUGAUCACCAAAGUGUCUGUUUGUAUGAAUAAAAAAUAUGUGCCAAAGGAUUCUGGAAGAAAUUGUGUAAUUGCUGAGAAAUAAGCGCGGAUUCUGUCACUUCCGCAAUAAUAAUACACUGUCCCACAUGUGCCUAUCUGUGUUGGCGAUCUUCAGUGUGAUUGUUUUUUUGCUUAGAUAUUAUGAUUUCACCAAGUUCAGUUUAUGUAACUGUACCAGAUCUAGAUCCACGAUGAUGUAGUAAUACUUAACCUUGGUUUUACAGACUUUCUCACGAAAUCAGUAUUUUACUGCAACUACUGUCAUUUAGCUUUAAUCAUGCUGUAUGGUUGUUUGUAUACGAAAUAAAUUAUGCUUAUUUAUGCGUAAAUCAUACUUUUUGCUCGAAUUCACCUUAUAAAGCUCAUGGAGUUAAUUUUUGGUGUAAAUAUCUUUUAUACCAUUAUUAACAAUUACAAAUUAUAAAAAUCCUGGGUUGAAAAUGAAUUUCUUAUGUAUUUUCCAACCUUUUGUUUUUUCGCCAAAUUUAUAGUAGAACCUUUUUGAAGCAUAAUUAUGCUGAAAUCAAUUAGUUUCAGCUGAUGAAAGUAAAAAUAAUUAUAUCUUUAUUAAUACAGUGAGAAAGUUCAAUUUACAUUGACUUUGUACACAAAAUUACGCUUUGGAGCAAUUUCGGGUCUGACUUAUGUAAUGUUGCGUGAUUUUCGAACCGCACACUCGGGCAUCGUGAAUUUGAUCUCAAAACUUCAAAGCGCAAGACUUCAAAGUGAAAAGUCAGUGAGUGGCGCGGUUGAAAAAUUUCCGGGGGGUGAUUCAACCUCUCCCCCGGCAGCUUAAAGUCUUUUUCACUUUUUGUUUCUAUUUGAAGUGCUAUUUGUUAUAUUAAUGUGACUACUAUAGUAAUUUUGGUACGUCUGCAUGUAUAUCAGAUAAAGGCCUAAGGUGAUAUUGUAAGUGUUUUUAUACAUGUUACAAAGUUGUGUUCAUCACAUAUUUGAUGUAAACUAAAAUACAAAACAUGUUAUGAUACAUCAUUAACCCUGUCUUAACUGGGCUAUUUCAGAGCAACAUAUACUGGGGGGGUCAAUCUGACCCCCCCCCCCCCCCCCCCUCAAAUCUUGGUCGUUGACUGCACGAUCGCCGCGAAAAUUUGCAUGCGCGUAGAGCCGGAUGUAAACUACAAGACUGUAUAGUAAAAUUUUCAAAAAAUUAAUUGCUUAUAUUUUUUUAUUAAUUAUGCAGCUUUUGAAAUUUGCCCUAAAUUUGUUUUUUGUGUAUGUUUUUGCGUUUAACUAAAUUUAUAAAACUAGUAGAAUGCUAAUUUUUGGUGAACACGCAGAUUUUUACAUUUCUAACAGAAAUCUACAAAAAUUGCCAAAAAAUAAUUAAUUUCUUAUGUAUCUUCCUGGUUUUUUUAAAUAAUCUUAUGUAUUUCUUUGUUUUUCAAACCUUUGCUUUUUAUUGUUUUUUAUGAACUUUGUUGGGGACCUUUUUGCAAUUAUAACUAACAUAAAAUAAAUCCAUCUAAACCAGCCUGAUCUAAACCAACAAAAGUAAAAAUCACACAUUUAUGAUUUUUGGUUGUAAAACACAAUUUGCACUGACUUUGUACACAUAAUCACGUUUUUGAGCAAUUUUUUUGAUUGACAUGUGCUAACAAAAUAUUACGUAAUUUCGGAACUGCGUACCCGGGCGUCGCAAAUCUGAUCUCAAAAGAUGUGCAAUAUUUAAAAGUAAAUCGUCAGCGAGCGGCGCAGUCAAAAAAAAUUGCGCUGGCGUAAUAAGUAUAAUAAGGGCUAAACUAGUAGUUGACAUGGUUAUAGCUAGCUUUGCAAAACAAAAUUUUGCUCAACUACAGAAACGUCGUUGCUUGCAUUCAUUUACGAUUAUAAUUUUUUCCAAGCAUGUACGAAUGAUGUAUUUUGAGGGAAAAAAAUGUAAGAGAAAUCCUUGUAAAUAAAGUUUAUAUUUUCAAUA